Molecule: long non-coding RNA, 421 nt
Filed under: Jatropha curcas
Lineage: Eukaryota; Viridiplantae; Streptophyta; Magnoliopsida; Malpighiales; Euphorbiaceae
Description: long non-coding RNA (JCUR_LNC002286)
Source: RNAcentral
CCACUAUUGCUGGGUCAAUUCCCGUGAUGUCAUUCGCCUUCCACAUGAAGCAAUCGACAAACUUCUUUAAGCAUUCACUGAUCUGUUCCCUGUUCACACAGUCAGAUGCAAUGUAUGUAUGUUCGUUUUCUUUUUUGCCAAUUAUUAUUUUUUCUUUAUCAUUUUUCAUUUCAUUUAUUUCUUUUUCAUUAUUUUUGCUUGGAAAUGCUUGGAAAGAUAGACAUGCGGGGUAGUCAAUAAUUUGCAAGCCUUUAUUGAUAAUGACAGAAUCGUCUUCAAAAAUUACAUCAAAUUUGAAAUUUGGAUUUUCAAAAUCCGACACAGACGGCUCAAGACUAGAACUAGACUCUGACUCGAUUUCAUACUCAGGGUCAGACUCGGACUCAAUACAGGACUUGAUCACAUAUUUUGACUCUAGGUU